CCUACGGGAGGCAGCAGUCGAGAAUCAUUCACAAUGGGGGAAACCCUGAUGCUGCGACGCCGCGUGGGGGAAUGAAGGUCUUCGGAUUGUAAACCCCUGUCAUGUGGGAGCAAAUUAAAAAGAUAGUACCACAAGAGGAAGAGACGGCUAACUCUGUGCCGGCAGCCGCGGUAAUACGGAGGUCUCAAGCGUUGGUCGGAAUCACUGGGCGUAAAGCGUGCGUAGGCUGUUUCGUAAGUCGUGUGUGAAAGGCGCGGGCUCAACCCGCGGACGGCACAUGAUACUGCGAGACUGGAGGAAUGGAGGGGGAACCGGAAUGCUUGGUGUAGCAGUGAAAUGCGUAGAUAUCGGGAGGAACACUCGUGGCGAAGGCGGGUUCCUGGACAUUAACUGACGCUGAGGAGCGAAGGCGAGGGGAGCGAAAGGGAUUAGAUACCCUUGUAGUC
This 446-nucleotide ribosomal RNA is filed under the name uncultured bacterium. Its description in RNAcentral is "partial 16S ribosomal RNA". It matches the Rfam family "Bacterial small subunit ribosomal RNA", at positions 338 to 795 of the family's 1533-position model. The record is from RNAcentral.